This 404-nucleotide long non-coding RNA is filed under the name Ananas comosus (pineapple). Its description in RNAcentral is "long non-coding RNA (ACOM_LNC032047)". The record is from RNAcentral. Lineage: Eukaryota; Viridiplantae; Streptophyta; Magnoliopsida; Poales; Bromeliaceae.
AUAGAAAUUUUGGAUGCAUCCAUUGCUCCAUAAAUCAAUUAUAAAAUAUGCAUCAAGAUAAAUUUCUAUAGUACAAUAAAUUAUUUAAACAUUUUAUAUUAUAUAUAUUAUAUCAUAUUUCAUUUCACAAUACUAAUUAUCAGAUAUUCUAUCAAUCAUCUAAUAUACUUUGUGGCGUAUGAAAUAUUAGUGUACACCACGUGCAAGCAAAAAUUUUCUCUUUCUUGAAAUUAUGAGUGCACCCCAUAAGUAAACGAUAUUGAAAAAAACUAAAAUUUUAUUCAUAAAAAUCAUAUAUGCUAGAUCAUAUUUAACGAUAUGGAUCGUUGAUUUGAACAUCCUAAGAUCGAAAACGAGACUAUAGUACCGAAAUUCCGGUACUAUAGAUAGUAUAAUAGCCUCAU